RNAcentral lists this transfer RNA (67 nucleotides) under Drawida japonica. Its description in RNAcentral is "tRNA-Thr". Lineage: Eukaryota; Metazoa; Annelida; Clitellata; Moniligastrida; Moniligastridae. The record is from RNAcentral.
GAGUUGAAAGCUAAUACACUGAAGUAUUGAUCUUGUAAAUCAAUGAUAGGAUAAAUUCCUCAGCUCU